AUGGGGCUUGGGCUCAGCUGGGUUUUCCUUGUUGCUAUUUUAAGAGGUGUCCAGGGUGAGGUGCAGCUGGUGGAGUCCGGGGGAGGCGUGGUGAAGCCUGCGGGGUCUCUGGGACUCUCCUGUGCAGCCUCUGGAUUCACCUUCAGUAGCUAUAACAUGGACUGGGUCCGCCAGGCUCCAGGGAAGGGGCUGGAGUGGGUGGCAGCAAUAAGGUAUGAUGGAAGUGGCACAUACUAUCCAGACGCCGUGAAGGGCCGACUCACCAUCUCCAGAGACAACGCCAAGAACAUGGUGUAUCUGCAAAUGAACAGCCUGAAAUCUGAGGACUCGGCCGUGUAUUACUGUGCAGCAGGCACAGUGUGGGGAGAUCAGCUCAGCCCCACACAGCUCAGGGUCCCAACUAUCCAGCAGCAGGACACAUGGGUUCAGGACAGCGGGCACCUGAGGGGUGUGAACAGAAAGCUAGAGAAGACCCAGGUAGUGACACUCAUUGACCUGUCAUCAUGGUCACAGCACCAAGACUAG
Molecule: non-coding RNA, 525 nt
Organism: Miniopterus natalensis
Lineage: Eukaryota; Metazoa; Chordata; Mammalia; Chiroptera; Miniopteridae
Source: the annotation of a RefSeq genome assembly